GACGAACGCUGGCGGCGUGCCUAAUACAUGCAAGUCGAACGGUCUUUCUAUGGAAGCUUGCUUCCGCUGAGAAGAUAGUGGCGAACGGGUGAGUAACACGUGGGUAACCUGCCCAUAAGAGGGGAUAACAUCCGGAAACGGGUGCUAAUACCGCAUAGUUUUCUUGAUCGCAUGAUCGGGAAAGGAAAGACGGCCUUUGUGCUGUCGCUUAUGGAUGGACCCGCGGCGUAUUAGUUAGUUGGUGAGGUAACGGCUCACCAAGACGAUGAUACGUAGCCGACCUGAGAGGGUGAUCGGCCACAUUGGGACUGAGACACGGCCCAAACUCCUACGGGAGGCAGCAGUAGGGAAUCUUCCGCAAUGGACGAAAGUCUGACGGAGCAACGCCGCGUGAGUGAAGAAGGUUUUCGGAUCGUAAAACUACUGUUGUCAGAGAAGAACAAGUCGGAGAGUAACUGCUCCGGCCUUGACGGUAUCUGACCAGAAAGCCACGGCUAACUACGUGCCAGCAGCCGCGG
RNAcentral lists this ribosomal RNA (518 nucleotides) under uncultured bacterium. RNAcentral describes it as "bacterial SSU rRNA". It matches the Rfam family "Bacterial small subunit ribosomal RNA", at positions 28 to 520 of the family's 1533-position model. The record is from RNAcentral.